RNAcentral lists this ribosomal RNA (2905 nucleotides) under Enterobacter roggenkampii. Its description in RNAcentral is "23S ribosomal RNA". It matches the Rfam family "Bacterial large subunit ribosomal RNA". Lineage: Bacteria; Pseudomonadati; Pseudomonadota; Gammaproteobacteria; Enterobacterales; Enterobacteriaceae. The record is from RNAcentral.
GGUUAAGCGACUAAGCGUACACGGUGGAUGCCCUGGCAGUCAGAGGCGAUGAAGGACGUGCUAAUCUGCGAAAAGCGCCGGCGAGGUGAUAUGAACCUUUGACCCGGCGAUGUCCGAAUGGGGAAACCCAGUGCAAUUCGUUGCACUAUCGUUAACUGAAUACAUAGGUUAACGAGGCAAACCGGGGGAACUGAAACAUCUAAGUACCCCGAGGAAAAGAAAUCAACCGAGAUUCCCCCAGUAGCGGCGAGCGAACGGGGAGCAGCCCAGAGUCUGAAUCAGCUUGUGUGUUAGUGGAAGCGUCUGGAAAGUCGCACGGUACAGGGUGACAGUCCCGUACACGAAAAUGCACAGGUUGUGAACUCGAAGAGUAGGGCGGGACACGUGGUAUCCUGUCUGAAUAUGGGGGGACCAUCCUCCAAGGCUAAAUACUCCUGACUGACCGAUAGUGAACCAGUACCGUGAGGGAAAGGCGAAAAGAACCCCGGCGAGGGGAGUGAAAAAGAACCUGAAACCGUGUACGUACAAGCAGUGGGAGCACCUUCGUGGUGUGACUGCGUACCUUUUGUAUAAUGGGUCAGCGACUUAUAUUCUGUAGCAAGGUUAACCGUAUAGGGGAGCCGAAGGGAAACCGAGUCUUAACUGGGCGUUAAGUUGCAGGGUAUAGACCCGAAACCCGGUGAUCUAGCCAUGGGCAGGUUGAAGGUUGGGUAACACUAACUGGAGGACCGAACCGACUAAUGUUGAAAAAUUAGCGGAUGACUUGUGGCUGGGGGUGAAAGGCCAAUCAAACCGGGAGAUAGCUGGUUCUCCCCGAAAGCUAUUUAGGUAGCGCCUCGUGAACUCAUCUUCGGGGGUAGAGCACUGUUUCGGCUAGGGGGCCAUCCCGGCUUACCAACCCGAUGCAAACUACGAAUACCGAAGAAUGUUAUCACGGGAGACACACGGCGGGUGCUAACGUCCGUCGUGAAGAGGGAAACAACCCAGACCGCCAGCUAAGGUCCCAAAGUCAUGGUUAAGUGGGAAACGAUGUGGGAAGGCACAGACAGCCAGGAUGUUGGCUUAGAAGCAGCCAUCAUUUAAAGAAAGCGUAAUAGCUCACUGGUCGAGUCGGCCUGCGCGGAAGAUGUAACGGGGCUAAACCAUGCACCGAAGCUGCGGCAGCGACACUAUGUGUUGUUGGGUAGGGGAGCGUUCUGUAAGCCGUUGAAGGUGGCCUGUGAGGGUUGCUGGAGGUAUCAGAAGUGCGAAUGCUGACAUAAGUAACGAUAAAGCGGGUGAAAAGCCCGCUCGCCGGAAGACCAAGGGUUCCUGUCCAACGUUAAUCGGGGCAGGGUGAGUCGACCCCUAAGGCGAGGCCGAAAGGCGUAGUCGAUGGGAAACAGGUUAAUAUUCCUGUACUUGGUGUUACUGCGAAGGGGGGACGGAGAAGGCUAUGUUAGCCGGGCGACGGUUGUCCCGGUUUAAGCAUGUAGGCGGAACGAUUAGGUAAAUCCGGUCGUUUAUUAACGCUGAGGUGUGAUGACGAGGCACUACGGUGCUGAAGUAACAAAUGCCCUGCUUCCAGGAAAAGCCUCUAAGCAUCAGGUAACAUCAAAUCGUACCCCAAACCGACACAGGUGGUCAGGUAGAGAAUACCAAGGCGCUUGAGAGAACUCGGGUGAAGGAACUAGGCAAAAUGGUGCCGUAACUUCGGGAGAAGGCACGCUGAUAUGUAGGUGAAGCCCCUGCGGGUGGAGCUGAAAUCAGUCGAAGAUACCAGCUGGCUGCAACUGUUUAUUAAAAACACAGCACUGUGCAAACACGAAAGUGGACGUAUACGGUGUGACGCCUGCCCGGUGCCGGAAGGUUAAUUGAUGGGGUUAGCGGCAACGCGAAGCUCUUGAUCGAAGCCCCGGUAAACGGCGGCCGUAACUAUAACGGUCCUAAGGUAGCGAAAUUCCUUGUCGGGUAAGUUCCGACCUGCACGAAUGGCGUAAUGAUGGCCAGGCUGUCUCCACCCGAGACUCAGUGAAAUUGAACUCGCUGUGAAGAUGCAGUGUACCCGCGGCAAGACGGAAAGACCCCGUGAACCUUUACUAUAGCUUGACACUGAACACUGGUCCUUGAUGUGUAGGAUAGGUGGGAGGCUUUGAAGUGUGGACGCCAGUCUGCAUGGAGCCGUCCUUGAAAUACCACCCUUUAAUGGCUGGUGUUCUAACGUAGACCCGUGAUCCGGGUUGCGGACAGUGUCUGGUGGGUAGUUUGACUGGGGCGGUCUCCUCCCAAAGAGUAACGGAGGAGCACGAAGGUUAGCUAAUCCUGGUCGGACAUCAGGAGGUUAGUGCAAUGGCAUAAGCUAGCUUGACUGCGAGAGUGACGGCUCGAGCAGGUGCGAAAGCAGGUCAUAGUGAUCCGGUGGUUCUGAAUGGAAGGGCCAUCGCUCAACGGAUAAAAGGUACUCCGGGGAUAACAGGCUGAUACCGCCCAAGAGUUCAUAUCGACGGCGGUGUUUGGCACCUCGAUGUCGGCUCAUCACAUCCUGGGGCUGAAGUAGGUCCCAAGGGUAUGGCUGUUCGCCAUUUAAAGUGGUACGCGAGCUGGGUUUAGAACGUCGUGAGACAGUUCGGUCCCUAUCUGCCGUGGGCGCUGGAGAAUUGAGGGGGGCUGCUCCUAGUACGAGAGGACCGGAGUGGACGCAUCACUGGUGUUCGGGUUGUCAUGCCAAUGGCACUGCCCGGUAGCUAAAUGCGGAAAAGAUAAGUGCUGAAAGCAUCUAAGCACGAAACUUGCCCCGAGAUGAGUUCUCCCUGAGACUUUAAGUCUCCUGAAGGAACGUUGAAGACGACGACGUUGAUAGGUCGGGUGUGUAAGCGCAGCGAUGCGUUGAGCUAACCGAUACUAAUGAACCGUGAGGCUUAACCUU